GACGAACGCUGGCGGCGUGCUUAACACAUGCAAGUCGAACGGAAAGGCCCUGCUUUUGUGGGGUGCUCGAGUGGCGAACGGGUGAGUAACACGUGAGUAACCUGCCCUUGACUUUGGGUUAACUUCAGGAAACUGGGGCUAAUACCGGAUAGGAGCUCCUGCUGCAUGGUGGGGGCUGGAAAGUUUCGGCGGUUGGGGAUGGUCGCGCGGCUUAUCAGCUUGUUGGUGGGGUAGUGGUAUACAAAGGCAUUGCCGGGUAGCCGGCAUGAGAGGGUGACCGGCGACAAUAGGCCUGAGAGACGGCGCAGACGGCUACGGGAGGCAGCAGGGGGGAACAUGGUACAAUGGGCCGGAGCCUGAUGCGGCGACGCCGCGGGCGUGAUGACGGCCUUUGGGGUGAAAACCGCUUUCGCCUGUGACGAAGCGUGAGUGACGGUAAUGGGUAAAUAAGCACCGGCUAACUACGUG
RNAcentral lists this ribosomal RNA (468 nucleotides) under uncultured bacterium. Its description in RNAcentral is "partial 16S ribosomal RNA". It matches the Rfam family "Bacterial small subunit ribosomal RNA", at positions 28 to 507 of the family's 1533-position model. The record is from RNAcentral.